This 405-nucleotide ribosomal RNA is filed under the name uncultured bacterium. RNAcentral's name for it is "bacterial SSU rRNA". It matches the Rfam family "Bacterial small subunit ribosomal RNA", at positions 357 to 776 of the family's 1533-position model. The record is from RNAcentral.
GGGAAUAUUGGGCAAUGGGCGCAAGCCUGACCCAGCAACGCCGCGUGAAGGAAGAAGGCUUUCGGGUUGUAAACUUCUUUUCUCAGGGACGAAGAAAGUGACGGUACCUGAGGAAUAAGCCACGGCUAACUACGUGCCAGCCGCCGCGGUAAUACGUAGGUGGCAAGCGUUGUCCGGAUUUACUGGGUGUAAAGGGCGUGCAGCCGGAGAGACAAGUCAGAUGUGAAAUCCACGGGCUCAACCCGUGAACUGCAUUUGAAACUGUUUCCCUUGAGUGUCGGAGAGGUAAUCGGAAUUCCUUGUGUAGCGGUGAAAUGCGUAGAUAUAAGGAAGAACACCAGUGGCGAAGGCGGAUUACUGGACGAUAACUGACGGUGAGGCGCGAAAGCGUGGGGAGCAAACAGG